AUAAGGCUUAUGUCAGAACAUCAUUUUGUAACUGUUUACCCCAAGCAGAAAACCCUUCUUGAAGAAUGGAAAACCAGAGCAAGCAUGUCCCAUCAUGUCUUUAUCCUGUAGUGAAAGUGAUCUCAUGCAAGACUGCCCAAGAGAGAGACAAUGUUCCAGAAACACCAGAGGAACACGUGCCAGUUUGAAGGCCUCUAGCAGCACUUGUUGAAAACCACAGAAACACCCACCCUGAGGAUCAGAAACCCCAUGGACCAGACCCCACCCAAACCAAAGUAGAAGGACACGGU
Long non-coding RNA from Gavialis gangeticus (Gharial), 290 nucleotides. RefSeq lists it as uncharacterized. The record is from RefSeq and is a predicted model, not a curated record. Lineage: Eukaryota; Metazoa; Chordata; Crocodylia; Gavialidae. The transcript is spliced from 2 exons.